Small nuclear RNA from Jaculus jaculus (lesser Egyptian jerboa), 103 nucleotides. The record is from Ensembl. NCBI's taxonomy places the organism in Eukaryota, Metazoa, Chordata, Mammalia, Rodentia, Dipodidae.
UUGAUUUGGCAGCAUGUAUACUAAAAUUAGAAUGAUACAGAGAAAUUUAGCAUGGCCCCUGUGCCAGAAUGAUAUGCAAAUUCGUGAAGUGUUCCAGAUUUUU